RNAcentral lists this transfer RNA (86 nucleotides) under Candidatus Pelagibacter sp. RNAcentral's name for it is "tRNA-Leu". It matches the Rfam family "tRNA". Rfam says of the family: Transfer RNA (tRNA) molecules are approximately 80 nucleotides in length. Their secondary structure includes four short double-helical elements and three loops (D, anti-codon, and T loops). The record is from RNAcentral. Lineage: Bacteria; Pseudomonadati; Pseudomonadota; Alphaproteobacteria; Candidatus Pelagibacterales; Candidatus Pelagibacteraceae.
GCGGCCAUGCUGAAAUUGGUAGACAGGCACGGUUGAGGGCCGUGUGAGCCUAGCUCAUGAGAGUUCGAUUCUCUCUGGCCGCACCA